CAGGCUUCGCAGGCCUAUGCACUUACCAUUGACAGCAGCCAGAGACAUAAUCACACAAAUAAAUUUUUUUCCUGCCAAGGAGAAAAUUAUGAAAGCAAGCAGGAAAGCGGGAUUACCUGAACCAUUUACCAAUAUAAAAAUAUUAGCAGAUCUUUCCACUGCUACUUUACAGUUCAGAAAAGCCAUGCAACCGUUAACAAUUACCCUACGUGAGCACCAAAUAAAUUAUAGGUGGGUUCACCAUCAGGACUCUCUCCACACCAUUACAACCAUGGGCUGAGCAAGCUACGUUAAUGGAACAUCCCGACUCCUACUGUUAACACAAGCCAGCAACACUGCCGAAAAUGUCUUUAGAAUGGUCCACUACAUAAAUGUCUUGCAACAACCUUUUGUAGAACUAUAAGUAACUAUUAUAAUAGCACCACUACCAUAUUCUGGUAUAGGGUAUCUUUAUUUUAUUUAAACAUUAUAUGUUAUAAUUAUUAAUAUGUCUGCGGAUGGG
Non-coding RNA from Pelobates cultripes (western spadefoot toad), 502 nucleotides. The record is from the annotation of a GenBank genome assembly. NCBI's taxonomy places the organism in Eukaryota, Metazoa, Chordata, Amphibia, Anura, Pelobatidae.